CCUGGCGGCCUUUAGCGCGGUGGUCCCACCUGACCCCAUGCCGAACUCAGAAGUGAAACGCCGUAGCGCCGAUGGUAGUGUGGGGUCUCCCCAUGCGAGAGUAGGGAACUGCCAGGC
This 117-nucleotide ribosomal RNA is filed under the name Escherichia coli. The record is from RNAcentral. Lineage: Bacteria; Pseudomonadati; Pseudomonadota; Gammaproteobacteria; Enterobacterales; Enterobacteriaceae.